GCCACUGAGCUUAGUGUAGAGCGUCUGCUCGUAAGCAGAAGGUCGUCAGUUCAAUCCUGGCAAGUGGCU
This 69-nucleotide transfer RNA is filed under the name Perkinsus marinus ATCC 50983. It matches the Rfam family "tRNA". From Rfam's summary of the family: Transfer RNA (tRNA) molecules are approximately 80 nucleotides in length. The record is from Rfam by way of RNAcentral. Lineage: Eukaryota; Perkinsozoa; Perkinsida; Perkinsidae.